UACGUAGGGUGCGAGCGUUGUCCGGAAUUACUGGGCGUAAAGAGCUCGUAGGCGGUUUGUCACGUCGUCUGUGAAAUCCUGCAACUCAAUUGUAGGCGUGCAGGCGAUACGGGCAGACUUGAGUACUACAGGGGAGACUGGAAUUCCUGGUGUAGCGGUGAAAUGCGCAGAUAUCAGGAGGAACACCGGUGGCGAAGGCGGGUCUCUGGGUAGUAACUGACGCUGAGGAGCGAAAGCGUGGGGAGCAAACAGGAUUAGAUACCCUGGUAGUCCACGCCGUAAACGGUGGGUACUAGGUGUGGGGCUCAUUUCACGAGUUCUGUGCCGUAGCUAACGCAUUAAGUACCCCGCCUGGGGAGUACGGCCGCAAGGCUAAA
This 377-nucleotide ribosomal RNA is filed under the name uncultured bacterium. RNAcentral's name for it is "bacterial SSU rRNA". It matches the Rfam family "Bacterial small subunit ribosomal RNA", at positions 524 to 898 of the family's 1533-position model. The record is from RNAcentral.